RNAcentral lists this unclassified non-coding RNA (821 nucleotides) under Hevea brasiliensis (rubber tree). The record is from RNAcentral. Lineage: Eukaryota; Viridiplantae; Streptophyta; Magnoliopsida; Malpighiales; Euphorbiaceae.
UUGUGAAGCAUCAUUCCUACAGAUAUUCUAAUCAAAAUAUCCAAGCAGCAUUGUAUCCGUUUCAGCACAAAACAUGGACAGUUAAUCCCCUUGGAAUUAAGAAGAGCUAACAAAGUAGACAUUCAAUGAAAUGGCACCAGAAAAUGUUGUUUUCAUUAGAGAAAUAAGAACAGUAAUCCUAGCUUAUAGAGAUAUCUUCUAGGAAUGGCAAGCAGCUUCUAAUGCAUAGAGACAAAAUCAUCUACCAUUAUCGGAUUCAAAGUAAGGGAUUGCUAAGAAAUGGACACUUCUCGAACCAGAUGUGUUCCGUGGUUAUCCCUUGAACUCCAUUAGUGUCCUAGAUUUCGGCACUUUCACAUCCGUCUUGAAACCAAAAACAACUAAUCCAAAUUACCACAUUAAAAUCAGCCUCUAGCAACUCGUCCAGGACUACAUUGCCCAUAAAGAAUUGAACAAAACAACCUUUAUUUUUCAAGUUAAAACGAUCAAGGUAUAUGUAAAUUUGGGUACAGCAUCUUAAGGAGUCCAAUUUGAUAAGCAAAAUUCAGCAGUCUCGUCUCAAUUAUCCCACAUCAAAUUAGUUUGAAGCUGUUCAAAAUCAAAACCCAUCUAAGGAUCUAGUUCUUUCACAUCCAAAUCUGCUCCAAAUUCCAUGGUCCCCUCAAAAUCCCACUCCAGAUCCCUCAAAGUUAACCCCAAACACCUAAAAAAACAGAUCACUCCACAUAGAAGGCAAAAACAACCAGAAAUGAACAAAUUCCCCAACCUAACCAACGUAAACUCUAACAAACCAUUACGGAUCCGGACAAUUUCCAAAAAAA